AUUUGAUGAUGGGGGCAACUUGCACACAGUUUCUUGAAGCGCUCCCAAUAUUCGUGUAGAGAUUCACCGUUGUCCUGCCUUACUCCACAAAUUUAUUUUCUAAUAUU
RNAcentral lists this small nucleolar RNA (107 nucleotides) under Olea europaea subsp. europaea. RNAcentral's name for it is "Plant small nucleolar RNA R71". It matches the Rfam family "Plant small nucleolar RNA R71". From Rfam's summary of the family: R71 is a member of the C/D box family of snoRNAs containing the C (UGAUGA) and D (CUGA) box motifs. Multiple nearly identical copies of this snoRNA have been identified in Arabidopsis, and it is thought to function as a 2'-O-ribose methylation guide for 18S ribosomal RNA. The record is from Rfam by way of RNAcentral. Lineage: Eukaryota; Viridiplantae; Streptophyta; Magnoliopsida; Lamiales; Oleaceae.